Non-coding RNA from Gymnopus androsaceus JB14, 102 nucleotides. The record is from the annotation of a GenBank genome assembly. Lineage: Eukaryota; Fungi; Basidiomycota; Agaricomycetes; Agaricales; Omphalotaceae.
GGUUCGAUGGCGUAGUUGGUUAUCGCAUCUGUCUAACAGUGGACCUCCCGUUGGAGUUACUUGUUACACAGAAGGUCCUCAGUUCGAGCCUGGGUCGAAUCA